UACGUAGGGGGCGAGCGUUAUCCGGAUUUAUUGGGCGUAAAGGGCUCGUAGGCGGUUCGUCGCGUCCGGUGUGAAAGUCCAUCGCUUAACGGUGGAUCCGCGCCGGGUACGGGCGGGCUUGAGUCUGGUAGGGGAAGGCGGAAUUCCCAGUGUAGCGGUGGAAUGCGCAGAUAUUGGGAAGAACACCGGCGGCGAAGGCGGCCUUCUGGGCCACGACUGACGCUGAGGCGCGAAAGCUAGGGGAGCGAACAGG
Molecule: ribosomal RNA, 253 nt
Filed under: uncultured bacterium
Lineage: Bacteria
Description: partial 16S ribosomal RNA
Rfam family: Bacterial small subunit ribosomal RNA
Source: RNAcentral